CCUACGGGCGGCAGCAGUCGAGAAUCAUUCACAAUGGGGGAAACCCUGAUGGUGCGACGCCGCGUGGGGGAAUGAAGGUCUUCGGAUUGUAAACCCCUGUCAUGUGGGAGCAAAUUAAAAAGAUAGUACCACAAGAGGAAGAGACGGCUAACUCUGUGCCAGCAGCCGCGGUAAUACAGAGGUCUCAAGCGUUGUUCGGAAUCACUGGGCGUAAAGCGUGCGUAGGCUGUUUCGUAAGGCGUGUGUGAAAGGCGCGGGCUCAACCCGCGGACGGCACAUGAUACUGCGAGACUAGAGUAGUGGAGGGGGAAGCGGAAUGCGCGGUGUAGCAGUGAAAUGCGUAGAUAUCGAGAGGAACACUCGUGGCGAAGGCGGGUUCCUGGACAUUAACUGACGCUGAGGCACGAAGGCCAGGGGAGCGAAAGGGAUUAGAUACCCGAGUAGUC
RNAcentral lists this ribosomal RNA (446 nucleotides) under uncultured bacterium. RNAcentral describes it as "partial 16S ribosomal RNA". It matches the Rfam family "Bacterial small subunit ribosomal RNA", at positions 338 to 795 of the family's 1533-position model. The record is from RNAcentral.